UCUAAAAUUCCACCAAAUAGAUCUCAAUUUCUCGAAUCAGCGGCUACUUCACUCACACUUCUAAUCAUGAAACGCCUCAUUUUCCUGCUAAUUCUCGCUCUCGUCUUCUGUUCUGCACAAUCAAGAUCCAUUAUCCCGCGCCCUCAACCUCUUCCAUCUCUCCAAAUCAGCAACAAAACCCAGAAUCAAGCGAGCUGUUCGUUUACUUAGUCAUUAGGACCAGUUGCUCAUCUACUCGAUACACGUGUGAUCAUAUCAGUCUUGCCUUCGGCGAUGCUUCUCGAAUCGGAAUUUGGACGGAUCCAUGGCGGCGAAGGACAAGGUCUUCUUGUUGCUGGCCUCAAAGUAGAAGUCCAGCGCGAAGAGAUCGGCCGGCUGGAGGUUCAGAUUGUCGCUGCACUCUCUACGGCUGUAGAUCGUUGCAAUUGGAUCAGAUUUUUUGCUUUUUUGGUCGAUUUUUUGGUUGAAUUUGGAGGAUGGGGUUUUCUUAUUUGAGGAAGAGACUAAUUUUAAAAGAAUAUUUAUAAAAUUAAUUAGGAAAUUAAUUAUGGAGUAAAAAAUCAGAAUUAAAAGUUUAAUUUGGUCAAAAUCGGGAUUAAACCCGUUGACCGUUAGUUUUUAACAGAAAAGUUAGUCCAGGACCAAAAUGAUUAAAUUUCCAUAUGUUCA
Salvia hispanica is the source of this 669-nucleotide non-coding RNA. Lineage: Eukaryota; Viridiplantae; Streptophyta; Magnoliopsida; Lamiales; Lamiaceae. The record is from RefSeq and is a predicted model, not a curated record.